UUCCCUUCUCGCUGCCAGCCAUACCUAGACAGCCCAAACACAGCAGCUCUAUUUCCCCCCCUGCACACCGGUCUCCAAAAACGAACACCCCUUUGCCACAGACCUUCCCCUCUUAGUUGCUCCUCUUCCUCACCGAGAACACUGCCUUCCAGUCCUCACCAGACAAAUCCUCCCUCUUCCUCCGACUCCUUCCCCACACACGGCUGAACCCCAAAUCCAGCCUCACUUCCCGACUCUCUGCUGACCCAACCAUUCUCACCGGCCUCCAGUAGCUGCGCAAACACGACAAAAACUCAGCCGUCGGCCACCCCUUUGACAUACUGCCGACCAUCUAAAACAGAGAAGAAGGUGAAAUGAAAAAAGAAUAAAAAGAAGGGCUCUGCAGAAGAAACAAAUCUGAAAAAGGGAGGACCGAGAGCAGAUUUGACAAGGAAAGAAAAAUAAAAACCGACUGUUGUUUGUGUGUAUUUUUUAUUGUUACAGGUGACGGUGAUCCUUACAGCUGGCGUAGGAAGAUAGAGAAGAAGACGACGUUCCCGAUCCAC
This 545-nucleotide long non-coding RNA is filed under the name Populus trichocarpa (black cottonwood). RNAcentral's name for it is "long non-coding RNA (PTRI_LNC004753)". The record is from RNAcentral. Lineage: Eukaryota; Viridiplantae; Streptophyta; Magnoliopsida; Malpighiales; Salicaceae.